RNAcentral lists this ribosomal RNA (253 nucleotides) under uncultured bacterium. Its description in RNAcentral is "partial 16S ribosomal RNA". It matches the Rfam family "Bacterial small subunit ribosomal RNA", at positions 524 to 776 of the family's 1533-position model. The record is from RNAcentral.
UACGUAGGGUGCGAGCGUUGUCCGGAAUUAUUGGGCGUAAAGAGCUCGUAGGCGGUUUGUUGCGUCGGCUGUGAAAUCCCGAGGCUCAACCUCGGGUCUGCAGUCGAUACGAGCAAACUAGAGUGUUGCAGGGGAGACUGGAAUUCCUGGUGUAGCGGUGAAAUGCGCAGAUAUCUGCAGGAACACCCGUGGCGAAAGCGGCGCGCUGGACCACUACUGACGCUGAGGAACGAAAGCUAGGGGAGCAAACAGG